CAGUAGCCGCGGUAAUACGUAGGGUGCGAGCGUUAAUCGGAAUUACUGGGCGUAAAGCGUGCGCAGGCGGUUCGUUAAGACAGAUGUGAAAUCCCCGGGCUUAACCUGGGAACUGCAUUUGUGACUGGCGAGCUAGAGUAUGGCAGAGGGGGGUAGAAUUCCACGUGUAGCAGUGAAAUGCGUAGAGAUGUGGAGGAAUACCGAUGGCGAAGGCAGCCCCCUGGGCCAAUACUGACGCUCAUGCACGAAAGCGUGGGGAGCGAACAGGAUUAGAUACCCCUGUAGUCCCUGUCUCUUAUAC
RNAcentral lists this ribosomal RNA (301 nucleotides) under uncultured bacterium. RNAcentral's name for it is "partial 16S ribosomal RNA". It matches the Rfam family "Bacterial small subunit ribosomal RNA", at positions 509 to 807 of the family's 1533-position model. The record is from RNAcentral.